AGCCCAUCCAUAUCCAGAUAAGAGAGGAGGCUGAACAAGUAUUUUUGGCAUAGAAAAGAAAUCAGGAACACUUCCUUUUUGUCGCACAUAAUAGGUGCCUUCACAAGGAGCCAAUGUGUGGAAGGAUAGGGAUAGGGUUUUAGGUUUAAAUUCUAACCUUUUGAAUUCAGUUUAAAACCAACCUAGUCCCAUCACUAAUGGGUGACAAAAAAAAGGUUUUGGCAUAGAUUUUUCAGCACACAAACCAAUUUGUGUGAUGAAAUAAGGUGUGG
RNAcentral lists this long non-coding RNA (272 nucleotides) under Elaeis guineensis (African oil palm). RNAcentral's name for it is "long non-coding RNA (EGUI_LNC054841)". Lineage: Eukaryota; Viridiplantae; Streptophyta; Magnoliopsida; Arecales; Arecaceae. The record is from RNAcentral.